AACGAACGCUGGCGGCAUGCCUAACACAUGCAAGUCGAACGAGACCUUCGGGUCUAGUGGCGCACGGGUGCGUAACGCGUGGGAAUCUGCCCUUGGGUUCGGAAUAACAGUUGGAAACGACUGCUAAUACCGGAUGAUGACGUAAGUCCAAAGAUUUAUCGCCCAAGGAUGAGCCCGCGUAGGAUUAGCUAGUUGGUGAGGUAAAGGCUCACCAAGGCGACGAUCCUUAGCUGGUCUGAGAGGAUGAUCAGCCACACUGGGACUGAGAUACGGCCCAGACUCCUACGGGAGGCAGCAGUGGGGAAUAUUGGACAAUGGGCGAAAGCCUGAUCCAGCAAUGCCGCGUGAGUGAUGAAGGCCUUAGGGUUGUAAAGCUCUUUUACCCGGGAUGAUAAUGACAGUACCGGGAGAAUAAGCUCCGGCUAACUCCGUG
This 433-nucleotide ribosomal RNA is filed under the name uncultured bacterium. Its description in RNAcentral is "partial 16S ribosomal RNA". It matches the Rfam family "Bacterial small subunit ribosomal RNA", at positions 29 to 507 of the family's 1533-position model. The record is from RNAcentral.